RNAcentral lists this ribosomal RNA (460 nucleotides) under uncultured bacterium. Its description in RNAcentral is "partial 16S ribosomal RNA". It matches the Rfam family "Bacterial small subunit ribosomal RNA", at positions 338 to 795 of the family's 1533-position model. The record is from RNAcentral.
CCUACGGGUGACUGCAGUGAGGAAUAUUGGUCAAUGGGCGCGAGCCUGAACCAGCCAAGUCGCGUGAAGGAUGACGGCCCUACGGGUUGUACACUUCUUUUUUACGGGAGUAAACUGAGGCACGUGGGCCUUUUUGAAUGUAUUUUAUGAAUAAGGAUCGGCUAACUCCGUCCCAGCACCCGCGUUAAUACGGAGGAUCCGAGCGUUAUCCGGAGUUAUUGGGUUUAAAGGGAGUGUAGAUGGGUGGUUAAGUCAGUUGUGAAAGUUGGCGGCUCAACGGUGGAAGUGCAAUUGAUACUGGCAGUCUGGAGUGCAGUUGAGGUAGGAGGAAUGCGUGGUGUAGCGGUGAAAUGCAUAGAUAUCACGCAGAACACCGAUUGCGAAGGCAGCUUACCAAGCUGCGACUGACGUUGAUGCGCGAAAGUGUGGGUAUCAAACAGGAUUAGAUACCCGGGUAGUC